This 431-nucleotide ribosomal RNA is filed under the name uncultured bacterium. RNAcentral describes it as "partial 16S ribosomal RNA". It matches the Rfam family "Bacterial small subunit ribosomal RNA", at positions 29 to 507 of the family's 1533-position model. The record is from RNAcentral.
AACGAACGCUGGCGGCAGGCCUAACACAUGCAAGUCGAGCGCCCUUUCGGGGGCGCGGCGGACGGGUGAGUAACGCGUGGGAAUAUGCCCUUCUCUACGGAAUAGCCUCGGGAAACUGAGAGUAAUACCGUAUACGCCCUGUGGGGGAAAGAUUUAUCGGGGAAGGAUUAGCCCGCGUUGGAUUAGGUAGUUGGUGGGGUAAUGGCCUACCAAGCCGACGAUCCAUAGCUGGUUUGAGAGGAUGAUCAGCCACACUGGGACUGAGACACGGCCCAGACUCCUACGGGAGGCAGCAGUGGGGAAUCUUAGACAAUGGGGGCAACCCUGAUCGAGCCAUGCCGCGUGAGUGAUGAAGGCCUUAGGGUUGUAAAGCUCUUUCAGCUGGGAAGAUAAUGACGGUACCAGCAGAAGAAGCCCCGGCUAACUCCGUG